Molecule: ribosomal RNA, 813 nt
Filed under: uncultured bacterium
Lineage: Bacteria
Description: bacterial SSU rRNA
Rfam family: Bacterial small subunit ribosomal RNA
Source: RNAcentral
AGAGUUUGAUCAUGGCUCAGAGCGAACGCUGGCGGCGUACUUAACACAUGCAAGUCGUACGAGGAUCGUCGGGUUAGCAAUAAUUCGGCGGUUCGAGUGGCGCACGGGUGAGUAACACGUGGGUAACCCACCCUCGAGACCGGGAUACCCUCUCGAAAGGGAGGCUAAUACUGGAUACGUUCCCCGGGACGCAAGAUCUGGGGAGGAAAGGUGGCGAAAGCUGCCGCUCUUGGAGGGGCUCGCGGCCUAUCAGCUAGUUGGUGAGGUAACGGCUCACCAAGGCUAUGACGGGUAGCUGGUCUGAGAGGACGACCAGCCACACGGGAACUGAGACACGGUCCCGACUCCUACGGGAGGCAGCAGUGGGGAAUUUUCCGCAAUGGGCGAAAGCCUGACGGAGUGACGCCGCGUGGGGGACGAAGGCCUUCGGGUCGUAAACCCCUGUCAGAGGGAAAGAAGGGUGUCGGCGUGAAUAGCGCCGGCAUCUGACGGUACCUUCAGAGGAAGCCCCGGCCAACUCUGUGCCAGCAGCCGCGGUAAGACAGAGGGGGCAAGCGUUGCUCGGAAUCACUGGGCGUAAAGGGCGCGUAGGCGGGAUGGCAAGUCGGUCGUGAAAUCCUUCGGCUCAACCGAAGAACGUCGGCCGAUACUGCCGUUCUUGAGGGAUGCAGAGGAGAUUGGAAUUCCCGGUGUAGCGGUGAAAUGUGUAGAGAUCGGGAGGAACACCGGUGGCGAAGGCGGGUCUCUGGGCAUCUCCUGACGCUGAGGCGCGAAAGCGUGGGGAGCAAACGGGAUUAGAUACCCUAGUAGUCC